This 676-nucleotide long non-coding RNA is filed under the name Lotus japonicus. Its description in RNAcentral is "long non-coding RNA (LJAP_LNC000072)". Lineage: Eukaryota; Viridiplantae; Streptophyta; Magnoliopsida; Fabales; Fabaceae. The record is from RNAcentral.
UCCGAGACUGUAUAGGGAUGGACUAUACAGUUGAGGAGGGCAUAAAAGAUUUGAUUGGUACUACUCAUAACAACAAGUUGCAACUUCUUUUCGGGAGCCCAACUGAUAAGAACUCCAUGGUUAAGUGUGCUUGCCUUGGAGCAAUAUUGUGAUGGGUGACCUCCUGGGAAGUUUUCCCGGGAAGUGCACGAGUGAGGACAAAGCGCACUGAACAGACUCGUGUUGUUACCGUGAGGCCAGUCGUCAGAUCGGAAUGUUACAAGUGGUAUCAGAGCCGACCUCUCCCAGUACGGUGUGGUUCGGGGACGAACCAAGCGGAAGUUGGUGGGCCUGUGACACCCGGGGCCGACGAGGACGGGGAGUGAUCGCCGGUGCAGUGAGGCACGGACAAGGAGCGGCUCCUGGCAGGCUUCUAGGCGGAGGGGCACAUGACUGAACCGAUCUCACACCCGAACAAGAGGUAUUCCGAGACUGUAUAGGGAUGGACUAUACAGUUGAGGAGGGCAUAAAAGAUUUGAUUGGUACUACUCAUAACAACAAGUUGCAACUUCUUUUCGGGAGCCCAACUGAUAAGAACUCCAUGGUUAAGUGAGCUUGCCUUGGAGCAAUAUUGUGAUGGGUGACCUCCUGGGAAGUUUUCCCGGGAAGUGCGCGAGUGAGGACAAAGCGCACUGAA